Haliotis rubra (blacklip abalone) is the source of this 93-nucleotide long non-coding RNA. RefSeq lists it as uncharacterized. NCBI's taxonomy places the organism in Eukaryota, Metazoa, Mollusca, Gastropoda, Lepetellida, Haliotidae. The record is from RefSeq and is a predicted model, not a curated record. The transcript has 3 exons.
UAGACGAUGUCCAUGGGGCGUUGAAAACGUAGUCAGCCUUACUAUAUUCUCGAUGUCCAAUGUUUGAUAAGUUUCCAUUUUAUUUGAAGAAAU